CAGGAAACAGGCAUCUGUGUUGUGGCACUUUUCCUUGUGGAAGAGCCCCUCACCUAUUUGGCAUUUGUAUUGUCAUGAGGUGUUGAAGCCUUGUUUCACUGAUUGGAAGACUGGACCUAAAUGGCGCAGCAUGACUUUGCUCCAGCCUGGCUUAAUUUUCCUACUCCACCACCAUCAUCAAAGGUUAUUUGUGCUAUUUAUUAAAUUACUAAUGUAGGAAAAUUUCCCUUUCCCUUUCUUUAAUUUACCUUGCAAUGGUAGGCGCUACAGCCAUCUAGAACAGGUUUUCAAGGAAGUAUUGAGGGACUGGAUAAAGAAGGAAAUUUUAACCCAGAUGUUUGGUGCAAUGUGGGAAUUCUGCC
This 362-nucleotide long non-coding RNA is filed under the name Naja naja (Indian cobra). RNAcentral's name for it is "lncRNA (ENSNNAG00000012267.1)". The record is from RNAcentral. Lineage: Eukaryota; Metazoa; Chordata; Lepidosauria; Squamata; Elapidae.